This 536-nucleotide ribosomal RNA is filed under the name Cryptosporidium bovis. RNAcentral's name for it is "SSU rRNA". It matches the Rfam family "Eukaryotic small subunit ribosomal RNA", at positions 330 to 904 of the family's 1831-position model. Lineage: Eukaryota; Apicomplexa; Conoidasida; Eucoccidiorida; Cryptosporidiidae. The record is from RNAcentral.
AGGGUAUUGGCCUACCGUGGCUAUGACGGGUAACGGGGAAUUAGGGUUCGAUUCCGGAGAGGGAGCCUGAGAAACGGCUACCACAUCUAAGGAAGGCAGCAGGCGCGCAAAUUACCCAAUCCUAAUACAGGGAGGUAGUGACAAGAAAUAACAAUACAGAACCUUACGGUUUUGUAAUUGGAAUGAGUUAAGUAUAAACCCCUUAACAAGUAUCAAUUGGAGGGCAAGUCUGGUGCCAGCAGCCGCGGUAAUUCCAGCUCCAAUAGCGUAUAUUAAAGUUGUUGCAGUUAAAAAGCUCGUAGUUAAUCUUCUGUUAAUUUUUAUAUAUAAUAUCACGAUAUUUAUAUAAUAUUAACAUAAUUCAUAUUACUUUUUAGUAUAUGAAACUUUACUUUGAGAAAAUUAGAGUGCUUAAAGCAGGCUAUUGCCUUGAAUACUCCAGCAUGGAAUAAUAUUAAGGAUUUUUAUUCUUCUUAUUGGUUCUAGAAUAAAAAUGAUGAUUAAUAGGGACAGUUGGGGGCAUUUGUAUUUAACAG